Molecule: RNase P RNA, 262 nt
Filed under: Candidatus Woesearchaeota archaeon
Lineage: Archaea; Nanobdellati; Candidatus Woesearchaeota
Description: RNase P RNA component
Rfam family: Archaeal RNase P
About the family: Ribonuclease P (RNase P) is a ubiquitous endoribonuclease, found in archaea, bacteria and eukarya as well as chloroplasts and mitochondria. Its best characterised activity is the generation of mature 5'-ends of tRNAs by cleaving the 5'-leader elements of precursor-tRNAs. Cellular RNase Ps are ribonucleoproteins.
Source: RNAcentral
AACGCAGGGAGGCAGACUGUCGGCAUUUAUGCUGUGGAAAGUCCACCCACUCGUGAAGUCCAGCGUAAGUGAACUUUAAUCGGUUCAUCUGGCAACAGAAAUAAACUGCUUUGAUCGCAUAAUGAUGCUUGUCUGAAGUUGUUCAAAGUUAGGUGAGAUAUGUUAGAUUGGAUGAGUGCAAGACCUUGAGUCGCUUAGUUGAAUGUCUGCAUUUACUGUCCGAUUACGGAGUAAAACAAAAGGUGGCUUAUAUCUCUGCGUU